GUGCUCACUUUGGCAGCACAUAUACUAACAUUGGACCAUUACAGAGAAGAUUAACAUGGCUCCUAAGCAAGGAUGACAUGCAAAUUUGUGAAAUCUUCCAUAUUUUU
Molecule: small nuclear RNA, 107 nt
Organism: Gracilinanus agilis (Agile Gracile Mouse Opossum)
Lineage: Eukaryota; Metazoa; Chordata; Mammalia; Didelphimorphia; Didelphidae
Source: RefSeq, a predicted model, not a curated record